AGUGAACGCUGGCGGUAGGCCUAACACAUGCAAGUCGAACGGCAGCACAGGAGAGCUUGCUCUCUGGGUGGCGAGUGGCGGACGGGUGAGGAAUACAUCGGAAUCUACUUUUUCGUGGGGGAUAAUGUAGGGAAACUUACGCUAAUACCGCAUACGACCUACGGGUGAAAGCAGGGGAUCUUCGGACCUUGCGCGAUUGAAUGAGCCGAUGUCGGUUUAGCUAGUUGGCGGGGUAAAGGCCAACCAAGGGGACGAUCCGUAGCUGGUCUGAGAGAGAGAUCAUCCAACCUGGAACUGAGACACGGUCCAGACUCCGACGGGAGGCAGAAGUGGGGAAUAUUGGACAAUGGGCGCAAGCCUGAUCCAGCCAUACCGCGUGGGUGAAGAAGGCCUUCGGGUUGUAAAGCCCUUUUGUUGGGAAAGAAAUCCAGCUGGUUAAUACCCGGUUGGGAUGACGGUACCCAAAGAAUAAGCACCGGCUAACUUCGUGCCAGCAGCCGCGGUAA
RNAcentral lists this ribosomal RNA (506 nucleotides) under uncultured bacterium. Its description in RNAcentral is "partial 16S ribosomal RNA". It matches the Rfam family "Bacterial small subunit ribosomal RNA", at positions 29 to 523 of the family's 1533-position model. The record is from RNAcentral.